UCCGAGCAACGGAGCUGCCAGGAUUCUACGUCCAGUAACCUCUCACUUCAUAAGGGAGCUUUACUCAACUCUACAGCUGUAGUCAACUUCCCUGAGCUCUGCACACAUAUUUCACUCCCCACGACAGCAGGGGAAGAGCUGUGAGCUCUCCCAAAGGAGUGGUCCGAGCACAGGCCUGAGCAUCUCACAAGGCGGGGAGGAGGGCGCAAGCUCCUCAGAGGAAGGUGCCAGAGCUGGGCCGGAGCUGUGCCCGGCACACUGAGAGAAAUCCUAAGUGGGAAGCACACUAAUCCAGCUCAGAGCAGCCACCUCGCUGCCCAUAAGCUCAGGGAGGCCAUGGAAGCCAUCCGGAACUAACGUUCUUAGGGUGAUACCUACCGCCAAGGACUGCAAUGGCCUUUGGGUUUGAGUCAUCCUAGCGCUUGAUCUCCGUCUCCCACGGCUGGAAAAAGACCAAACUGAAAUGUGAAGUAAGCUCUGAAGGAACAGUUGGGAAGUUCAUGCCUGUGUAGCCUUUACCCCUUUCCACCCUGAGCCCUGAGCCCACUCUCCCCUGUAGAUCUAUCUGGGGACUCACAGCAGUGCUGCUGUGCUGACAGUGUCUCCCCGAAUCGUGUGGCAGAGCAUUCACCGGCUUCCUCUCGAAUAACUGCCAUUCAGCCUUCCGCAGAAGCCCACGGGGGCUGAACGCCAGUGAGCUGGAGCUUCUUGUUCCUUUGCCUCCUUCCUCCGUGAACAGAUUCCUCGGUCUGGGCCCCGCGCCGCCAUCAGAGCAGCCUCCCACUCCAGUGUGCAAAGUCACACUUUCCGGACAACUGCCCACUGUUGACUGAGCCUCAGUGGCAGGUGGGGAGGGGUGAGGUUGAGGGGGGAUGGUGGGUCAGGAUUAGGUGUAGAGACCACGGCGGAGGCCUGUUCUGCAAGGCAGGUAGGGGACUCCGUGGCUCCGCUGGCGCAGAGAGAGAGGGACAGGUAUCGUUACCUGAGGAUGGUUUUCAUUUGGAGACAAAAAGCUUCAAAAGUCUGGAGCUCUGGGUGCAGAGAUUUGCUCAAGAACCCUUUCCUCCCCCCCAACUAACGCCCUGGUUGCUGAUGUUCGGCUAAAAAAAGAUCUUCCUUUAC
Canis lupus familiaris (dog) is the source of this 1122-nucleotide long non-coding RNA. RefSeq lists it as uncharacterized. NCBI's taxonomy places the organism in Eukaryota, Metazoa, Chordata, Mammalia, Carnivora, Canidae. The transcript has 2 exons. The record is from RefSeq and is a predicted model, not a curated record.